This is a non-coding RNA of Cricetulus griseus (Chinese hamster), 1879 nucleotides long. NCBI's taxonomy places the organism in Eukaryota, Metazoa, Chordata, Mammalia, Rodentia, Cricetidae. The record is from RefSeq and is a predicted model, not a curated record.
UCUGUCUCUCUCUCUGUGUGUGUGUGUGUGUGUGUGUGUGUGUGUGUGUGUGCGCGUGCGUGUGCGUGCGUGUGUGUGUGUAAUAGCACAGCGUUUAGUGCCUCUGAUUGCAGGAACGCAGCACACUUUAAAUGACAGGUAUAUCUGAAGAAGAGAAACUGAAGCUCAGAGAGUUGGGGUUAGGUCAUCGCAUUGUCAACCCCAGGACAGACGCAAGGUCCAGCAGGGGCGCCUAGGCACUCCCGCGAAGCCGCUAGCAUCCCGGUUGUUAGCCCGCGCUUCUCCUGCGCUAGCCUGCAGCCUCUCUCGGGCACCAGACUCUCCUCCCUGGGGCUGAUUCCAGCCAGGAUAACAGCAGAGCCCUGCCCCUCCACCGCGCCCGCCCGCCUGGUGCGGGCCACUCACCGGAGCGCCUCUGGUCCGGGGUUCUGGGUCCGCGCCGCCGCCGUGCAGAGUCGCGCAUCGCCCGAGCAGCGCAGCGCCGGGCGUCUUCUCCUAGCGAACAGAAAGUUUCCCGGGGCUUCCCGGGGCCCAGCCGGCUCCUCUGGCGAGUCUCAGCCAGCACUGCGCGCUCCGGCCUCCAGCCUCUCACUAGGGCGGCCGCGGGCUCCCGCUCCACGACGAGAAGGAGGCGGCAUCCUGAACAAAGUGCCGUCCCCCGGGCCCGGCGGCCGGGGGCGGAGCCUAGUGACCCGCUGCCCUAGGCACACGCCGGCCGCCUCGGCGGAGGGCCGAGCUGGGAGUGCCCGUGGCUGGGGGUGGGAGGAAGGGGUGGCCCGGCUGCGGAUCGCCCUCGUUUUCCUCCCCUGCACUGUGCCAGCUUAACCCGCAGAGGGGCGGAGGCAUGGGUCCCUUCCAGACUUUGUCAUUGGAAAGCUAUUCCCGUAACCCUUUCCUGCGUUAGCCUUCCCGCCCCGCCUCCCCAGCCGACCGGCCGCAGAAAGGCGGCUGCAGCGUGGCGGGGGCUGCGCCGGGAGUUGUCAGGGCAGGAAGCCUUAGCACAAUUGAGCCUUUCCUUUACCCAGGGACCUGGGACCACCACUUCCAGGAGCAGGAUCCUCCUGCCCUAGUCCUCUAGCUACCUCGGUUCUUCCAGAGAAGGGUGCAGCUACCUCGGUUCUUCCAGAGAAGGGUGCAGAUGGAUCGCAGCCACCCUUCGUCCAGAGAAGUGGGAGGAGGAAGAGAGGAGGGGAAUUGACAAGACCUUACCCAGGACCUUGCGCAAAUGUCUGCAGUGCUGAGAUGUGACUGAGUUUAAGACGCUUGCCUCCUGACCCGGGGGCUUGCAGACUCUGCAGCAAGCACACAGACGAAAUCAGGUGGACUGUGCUCAGGCCCGGAGUUGUGUGUGAGAGAGAACACCUGCCACCAGGGACUCCGCAUGUGAGGAUCGUAGCCUUCUCCAGCUCCAGCCAACAGUCAGGAAGACUGAUUUAUUUUUAAGGUGCUGGGGUUGGAGGUUGGGAGGUGGAGAGAAAGCGAAAUGCCGACUAACUAGGAGGUCUUGGCAUAGUCAGAUUAAAGUCCCAGAGUCCUGCUUAGCCCCCCCCCCCAGUCGUAGGACAAGGAGAGGUAGACAGUGGCCUUCCCAGAUGGUCUGGGAAAUGAAUUUAAUGUAAUUUUUGUCCAUGAAAGGAGUGAGUUGUCCUUUAGAGCGUCGAGAGGGCUGCAGAAUAAUGCCCAAGAUGAGUCCUUUGCUCUCUGUGUAGUGGCUAAGGUGUGGGCUUUUAAGGCACACAUUUAAAGUCGGCUGUCACUGGAUCUUUAACAAGCUCUUUCACCUCUGGCUACUUCCGUUUCUUCUUCUGUAAAAAGAGACAAUAGUAGUUCCUGUCUUGUAAUGUUGUCAAAAGGAUUAAAAAGGGAAUGAUACAGGUAA